GCUCACGUAGCUGACUGAGAGCUUUGUAUUGAAGAUGUGAAGACGGACCCACAUGAGGAUCCGAGAGCA
RNAcentral lists this transfer RNA (69 nucleotides) under Notoscopelus caudispinosus (lobisomem). RNAcentral's name for it is "tRNA-Phe". The record is from RNAcentral. Lineage: Eukaryota; Metazoa; Chordata; Actinopteri; Myctophiformes; Myctophidae.